AUUCCUACGGGAGGCAGCAGUGAGGAAUUUUCCGCAAUGAGCGAAAGCUUGACGGAGCAAUACCGCGUGGAGGACGAAGGCUCAUGGGUCGUAAACUCCUUUUCUUAGGAAAGAAUUUUGACGGUACCUAAGGAAUAAGCAUCGGCUAAUUCCGUGCCAGCAGCCGCGGUAAGACGGGAGAUGCAGGCGUUAUUCGGAUUUAUUGGGCGUAAAGGGUUUGUAGGUUGUUGGUUAAGUCUAUGGUCAAAUUCUGAAGCUCAACUUCGGGCCGGCACUAGAAACUAAUCAACUUGAGUACGUUAGAGGCAGGGGGAAUUCCCAGUGUAGCGGUGAAAUGCGUAGAUAUUGGGAGGAACAUCAAUGGCGAAGGCACCCUGCUAGGCCGAUACUGACACUGAAAAACGAAAGCUAGGGGAGCAAAUGGGAUUAGAUACCCCAGUAGUCCUAGCUGUAAACGAUGGGGACUAAACUUUGGUUUUAAAAAUCAGAGUUAAAGCUAACGCGUUAAGUCCCCCGCCUGGGGAGUACGCCCGCAAGAGUGAAACUCAAAGGAAUUGACGGAAU
Molecule: ribosomal RNA, 564 nt
Filed under: uncultured bacterium
Lineage: Bacteria
Description: bacterial SSU rRNA
Rfam family: Bacterial small subunit ribosomal RNA
Source: RNAcentral